Molecule: ribosomal RNA, 425 nt
Filed under: uncultured prokaryote
Description: bacterial SSU rRNA
Rfam family: Bacterial small subunit ribosomal RNA
Source: RNAcentral
UCGAGAAUCUUCGGCAAUGGACGCAAGUCUGACCGAGCGACGCCGCGUGCGGGAUGAAUGCCUUCGGGUUGUAAACCGCUGUCAGAGGGGUGGAAAUUUUGACCUAACCUCAGAGGAAGGCCGGGCUAAGUUCGUGCCAGCAGCCGCGGUAAGACGAACCGGCCAAACGUUAUUCGGAAUCACUGGGCUUAAAGGGUGCGUAGGCGGUCUGGUAGGUGGGGUGUGAAAUCCCUCGGCUCAACCGAGGAACUGCGCUCCAAACCACCCGACUAGAGGGAGAUAGAGGUGAGCGGAACUGAUGGUGGAGCGGUGAAAUGCGUUGAUAUCAUCAGGAACACCAGUGGCGAAGGCGGCUCACUGGGUCUCUUCUGACGCUGAGGCACGAAAGCUAGGGGAGCGAACGGGAUUAGAUACCCCCGUAGUCC